Molecule: ribosomal RNA, 301 nt
Filed under: uncultured bacterium
Lineage: Bacteria
Description: partial 16S ribosomal RNA
Rfam family: Bacterial small subunit ribosomal RNA
Source: RNAcentral
CAGUAGCCGCGGUAAUACGAGGGGGGCGAGCGUUGUUCGGAAUUAUUGGGCGUAAAGGGUGCGUAGGCGGUUUGGUAAGUCUCAUGUGAAAUCCCCGGGCUCAACCUGGGAAUGGCAGUGGAUACUGGCUCGCUAGAGUGUGUCAGAGGAUGGUGGAAUUCCGCGUGUAGCAGUGAAAUGCGUAGAUAUGCGGAGGAACACCGAUGGCGAAGGCAGCCCCCUGGGCCAACACUGACGCUCAUGCACGAAAGCGUGGGGAGCAAACAGGAUUAGAUACCCGGGUAGUCCCUGUCUCUUAUAU